GCGGAUGCAAGGCCACAUAAAUAGGAAACAUAAAUGAUGUCAAAAAAAAAAGGAAACAUAAAAGGUUUUGUACCAAAAAAGGUUAAGUACGUCUAAUGUGAUACAGAAUGUGGUCGGAAAACUCUGGAAGCUCAAAUUACAAUGAGAAGAUGGAAAAUUUACUAUUCACUGUCCAUUGAUUAAACAUCUAUCUACUUUUCUUACACCGGAUCCGAAGAACAAUGAUUUGCCUAAAUAAAUCGAGGCCUUAAAAAUAAAUGGAUAGAAAUGCAUAAAUUUUGUUUGAUUUCCUUAAUCUUAAACUAAAUUUUGAUUUGUGCGACCACGCUCAAAUAUAUAUCAAAUUUAUUUAUAAUUAAUUAUGUUACUAAUUUUAUAUAUUUAUGUGUGUACAUUUUAUUAGUAUUGUAAUGUAUGGUGAUAUAUGGUAAAAAAUUAUUAUGUUUUUGUGAUUUAUUUUUAUAAUCUAUCUUUUCUUAUUUAAAAUUAAAUAAAUUAAUAUUUAUUUUUUACUUGGUUAAUACUUAGCGAAGACGAUCCAGCGGUUUUGAAAGAGUUUCGGCUCCAGUAGAGAUCUUGGUUUGAAUUCGGCUGGCUACUGGAAGCAAAAUUUAACAUUUGGGUUCGUCCAAUGUUCGGUGACCGAGACGUAAUCUGACCGAUAACAUAAGCUGUUACGGAUACUCGCCGCUAAUCUGGAUUCACCUCGGUGAAGGCUAAGAUACAUUUGAUUAUCCAAAAAAAAAGGAUUAAUACUAAACAAGCA
Molecule: long non-coding RNA, 766 nt
Filed under: Brassica napus (rape)
Lineage: Eukaryota; Viridiplantae; Streptophyta; Magnoliopsida; Brassicales; Brassicaceae
Description: long non-coding RNA (BNAP_LNC006328)
Source: RNAcentral